AACGCGAAGAACCUUACCUGGUCUUGACAUCUACAGAACUUUCCAGAGAUGGAUUGGUGCCUUCGGGAACUGUAAGACAGGUGCUGCAUGGCUGUCGUCAGCUCGUGUCGUGAGAUGUUGGGUUAAGUCCCGCAACGAGCGCAACCCUUGUCUUAUGUUGCCAGCACGUUAUGGUGGGAACUCAUGAGAGACUGCCGGGGUUAACUCGGAGGAAGGUGGGGAUGACGUCAAAUCAUCAUGCCCCUUAUGUCCAGGGCUUCACACAUGCUACAAUGGUCGAUACAGUGGGCAGCGACAUCGUAAGGUGGAGCGAAUCCCUGAAAGUCGGCCUUAGUUCGGAUUGGGGUCUGCAACUCGACCCCAUGAAGUCGGAGUCGCUAGUAAUCGCAGAUCAGCAACGCUGCGGUGAAUACGUUCCCGGGUCUUGUACACACCG
This 436-nucleotide ribosomal RNA is filed under the name uncultured bacterium. RNAcentral's name for it is "bacterial SSU rRNA". It matches the Rfam family "Bacterial small subunit ribosomal RNA", at positions 958 to 1392 of the family's 1533-position model. The record is from RNAcentral.